AUGGACUGGCGGCGGUCAGGGAGCCCGACAUACGGCCGGCGGCGCUCGCCGGCGGGGAUGUACUCCGCCCCGGCGUCCCCGGCACAUCCCCAGGGUCCAGCCACGUCGUCACCGGUACACCCUCUGGCGGCGCGGUCCAAGGCGCGCGCCGCGGCGGCGCUGGCGCAUGUCAUGGCGCGCCCAGGAGCGCGAGUCGCCGCCGCAGACUCCGACUCCGACGAGAACGGGUACGGAGACAACGACGGCGGCACCGACGGGCGUUACGGCGGCGGCCGGAGCCCCCUGCACGGGUACGUUGCAAAGAGCGCCGGCGGCGUCAAGGACAAGUUCUUCGGGAUGGCGUUGCCCAAGGACCUCAUCGAAAACGGAGGCGACGCGGCCAAUGUGGGCAAGGACGAUGUUCCUUUGGUACAGGUGGGGGCUAUUCAUUUUGAUUUUCUCUCGGAUUAG
This 450-nucleotide ribosomal RNA is filed under the name Triticum aestivum (bread wheat). RNAcentral's name for it is "partial small subunit ribosomal RNA". Lineage: Eukaryota; Viridiplantae; Streptophyta; Magnoliopsida; Poales; Poaceae. The record is from RNAcentral.